This 253-nucleotide ribosomal RNA is filed under the name uncultured bacterium. Its description in RNAcentral is "partial 16S ribosomal RNA". It matches the Rfam family "Bacterial small subunit ribosomal RNA", at positions 524 to 776 of the family's 1533-position model. The record is from RNAcentral.
UACGGGGGGGGCAAGCGUUGUUCGGAAUUACUGGGCGUAAAGGGCUCGUAGGCGGCCAACUAAGUCAGACGUGAAAUCCCUCGGCUUAACCGGGGAACUGCGUCUGAUACUGGAUGGCUCGAGUUUGGGAGAGGGAUGCGGAAUUCCAGGUGUAGCGGUGAAAUGCGUAGAUAUCGGGAGGAACACCAGUGGCGAAGGCGACUACCUGGCCUGUUCUUGACGCUGAGGCGCGAAAGCUAGGGGAGCAAACGGG